AUUGCUUCUCGGCCUUUUGGCUAAGAUCAAGUGAAAUAUGUUUCAUAUCUUGUUAUUUUAUUUCCUCUUUGAGCUGUACCUUGCUAUGCAAAGAGAUGAAAUUGUAUAUGCUUCCAUUUUAAUAGACUGAAACAUUAGCCAAU
Molecule: small nuclear RNA, 143 nt
Filed under: Mus musculus (house mouse)
Lineage: Eukaryota; Metazoa; Chordata; Mammalia; Rodentia; Muridae
Description: U2 spliceosomal RNA
Rfam family: U2 spliceosomal RNA
About the family: U2 is a small nuclear RNA (snRNA) component of the spliceosome (involved in pre-mRNA splicing). Complementary binding between U2 snRNA (in an area lying towards the 5' end but 3' to hairpin I) and the branchpoint sequence (BPS) of the intron results the bulging out of an unpaired adenosine, on the BPS, which initiates a nucleophilic attack at the intronic 5' splice site, thus starting the first of two transesterification reactions that mediate splicing.
Source: Rfam by way of RNAcentral